Molecule: ribosomal RNA, 941 nt
Filed under: uncultured bacterium
Lineage: Bacteria
Description: bacterial SSU rRNA
Rfam family: Bacterial small subunit ribosomal RNA
Source: RNAcentral
UACUGGGCUUAAAGAGUUCGUAGGUGGUUAAAAAAGUUGGUGGUGAAAUCCCAGAGCUUAACUCUGGAACUGCCAUCAAAACUUUUUAGCUAGAGUAUGAUAGAGGAAAGCAGAAUUUCUAGUGUAGAGGUGAAAUUCGUAGAUAUUAGAAAGAAUACCAAUUGCGAAGGCAGCUUUCUGGAUCAUUACUGACACUGAGGAACGAAAGCAUGGGUAGCGAAGAGGAUUAGAUACCCUCGUAGUCCAUGCCGUAAACGAUGUGUGUUAGACGUUGGAAAUUUAUUUUCAGUGUCGCAGCGAAAGCAAUAAACACACCGCCUGGGGAGUACGACCGCAAGGUUAAAACUCAAAUGAAUUGACGGGGACCCGCACAAGUAGUGGAGCAUGUGGUUUAAUUCGAAGAUACGCGCAGAACCUUACCAACACUUGACAUGUUCGUCGCGACUUUAAGAGAUUAAAGUUUUCGGUUCGGCCGGACGAAACACAGGUGCUGCAUGGCUGUCGUCAGCUCGUGUCGUGAGAUGUUGGGUUAAGUCCCGCAACGAGCGCAACCCUCACUUUUAGUUGCCAUCAUUUAGUUGGGCACUCUGAAAGAACUGCCAGUGAUAAGCUGGAGGAAGGUGGGGAUGACGUCAAGUCCUCAUGGCCCUUACGUGUUGGGCUACACACGUGCUACAAUGGCAUUUACAAUAGGAAGCAAGACGGCGACGUUUAGCAAAUCCUAAAAAAAUGCCUCAGUUCGGAUUGUACUCUGCAACUCGAGUACAUGAAGCUGGAAUUACUAGUAAUCGCGGAUCAGCGCGCCGCGGUGAAUACGUUCCCGGGUCUUGUACACACCGCCCGUCACACCAUGGGAGUUGGUUCUACCUUAAGGCAAAGGUUAAAAACUUUGACCACGGUAUAGUCAGCGACUGGGGUGAAGUCGUAACAAGGUAACCGUA